Non-coding RNA from Paramuricea clavata, 569 nucleotides. The record is from the annotation of a GenBank genome assembly. NCBI's taxonomy places the organism in Eukaryota, Metazoa, Cnidaria, Anthozoa, Malacalcyonacea, Plexauridae.
GCAAAGCCUGAUUGUUGCAUCUUCAUCAUUUAUUAAACUGUAGAAGCAUGAAACUAUAAAGACCUAUAUUAAAUAGUUGUCGAAUAAAAGUUCAAUAUUUUAAAUACCGAAAUGUAAACAAAGACUACAAAGGCUUUGUUUACAUACGGACUGUACCCUAUCGAAAAGUGAAAACCCUUUAAAUUAAAAACUUACCAUUGACAGGCAGUUCUUUUAUUCAAGCGUUGUCUCUUUAUCCAUGGUCGAAUUUCCAGUACAGCGAUGUAGCGAAAUUUCCGGUCGUCUUUCACAACAAAUAACAUCACAAUAUAAAGUCAAUAUAAACUGCACGUAUUUUUCUCUUUACCACCGAAUCGUUUUCCCUAUCCAUUGAAUUAUAAUUUCCAAAACUACCAGUCGUUAUAACGUAAAACAAGCGGGUAUUUUGUGAACAGAAAUGCCCUUUGAAUCACACGAAGUAACUAGCGCCAUCUUGUCUUCUUCAAACAUUACAAAUUUUCCCGCCAAAACCUCUGUGGGUGAAGGCGAAGUCCCGUAUGAAACUGACGUCACAGGUGUCAUUGAGCAUG